AGGACCUGGCUUGGUUGGGAAGUGGGGCCUGGGACCCUGGGACCCUGUGCUCCGACCCCACCUGCAAGGCUGCGCCCUCCGCAGGGGGCCGUCCGGGGGGGCCCUGCCCGCGGGUCACUGCCAGGAUCCUGCAAGCAGCCAGCGGGCACCGCUGUCACCACAUUUCACACUCUGAGGAGCUCUGGGCACAGCCUCCAGGGAAAGCCUGGCUGCCGACUCUGGCCCCCUGACUCCUGAAUCCUGCGAGUCACACGGCGGCACGGCCUGCAUAUCGGGGAGGAUGGCAGGCUGGGCUGUCCUGAGGUGACCAGGGAAUGCCAGACGCUUUGGGAAAAUUAUCACCUGCUGAGCCCCCUUGCUGCUGCUCUCUGGGCGUGCACUGUGAGUGCACUGUGGAGUUUACGGACACCGGCCCCCGCGACGGUGGAGUUUACGGGGACCGGCCCCCGCGAUGGUGGAGUUUACAGACACUGGCUCCCGCGACGGUGGAGUUUACGGGGACCGGCCCCCGCGACGGCAGAGUUUAUGGGGACCGGCUCCCCCGACGGUGGGGGCCCACGAGUCCCAGCAUCUGCAGCAGAGUCGCCGGAUUGCAUGAGGUCAGCGAGUGUGUCCACUGCAGACCCUGCGGAGCCACCAUCCAAAACCACAUUGAGAAUAUUUCCAUUACUCUAGGAAAAGCUUCUCCGUCCAGCUGAGGCGGGAUGUCAUAGACUUACCCUCCUACCCGAAACAGCCAAAAAGCAAAACAAAACCAGACAAAACGCAGACACAUGGCUUCCAAGACACGGGACACCAGGCAUUAGAGGACAGUAACCCUGAGUGAUGGGAACAGCCGUGCCCUAGUCACCCGUGCUCACUGCCCUGGGAGGCAGUCCAGGCUGUGGGUGGGAAGGCGGAACCCACGCAGGUCCCAGUGGACCCCCGAGGCUGGACAGACCGAGGCGGCUCGAGUUCAUGGACACAGUACCAGAGUGGAGAGGGUCGCACAGAGAGGGACCCUGAAGACCUGGAUGGGACCCCUGGAGUAUUUGGAAGAGCAUGGCCCUGCGGAUCCCCAUAAGGAAACUCCCCAGGGUGGGUAAAAAGGCACCCGGAAGGAUGAGAGGGAACAGGGCCCGACUCCUGCAGGGCUGAGGACAGUGUCUCUCCCCAUCAGCCAAGCAGGAAAUCUCGUAACUCACGGGGCCUUGGGUGAAGCCCUUGGGAAGGGCUUGCCUCGGCGGGGGACGAUCAGCCUGAGCCCGAGCUGUGCUCUGAGCCCUCCUACCAAGCCAUAAAAGCAAGACUAGAAAGGAUCAAACUGCCUCCAGAUCACUUAACCGCACGUCCAGGACAAAGCUGAAGAUUUCCAGGAAGACAAAAAUCCCCGGCACCCAGCCAGGUGAAAUUCACAAGGACUGGCGUCCAAAGGAAGAGGACCUGCCAGGCAAUGGGAAAAGCAGGAGAACGGGACCCAUGAUGAGAAAAAUGAUGUAAUCAAAACCAUCCCAGGGCUGGGUGCGGUGGCUAACGCCUGUCAUCCUAGCACUUUGGGAAGCCGAGGUGGAGGAUCACUUGAGGCCAAGAGUUCAAGACCAGAUGGGGCAACAUAGUAAGACCCUGUCUCUAUGACAAAAAAAAAAAAAGGUAAAACCAUCCCAAAGUUGACACAGAUGUGAGAAUGAGCAGAGGUGGGCAUUGAAGCAGUCGUUUUUGCUGUAUUCCCUCUGUUCAGAAGUUAAGUAGAACCACAGCUCGAUGUCCCCUCAGGCUCAUUAGGAUGGUUACUAUUCAAAAAAAGAAAGUGGCCAGGUGCGGUGGCUCACGCCUGUAAUCCCAGCACUUUGGGAGGCCAAGGCGGGUGGAUCACAAGGUCAGGAGUUCGAGACCAGCCUGACCAAUAUGAUGAAACCCCAUCUCUACUAAAAAUACAAAAAUUAGCUGGGUGUGGUGGCAGGCGCCUGUAAUCCCAGCUACUCAGGAGGCUGAGACAGGAGAAUUGCCUAAACCCGGGAGGUGGAGGUUGCAGUGAACCGAGAUCGCGCCAUUGCACUCCAGCCUGGGCAACAAGAGCGAAACUCCAUCUCAAAAAAAAAAAGUAACAAGUGUUGUUCAGGGUGUGGAGAGAUGGGAGCCCUUGUGUGAUGUUGUGGAAUGUAAAACGAUGUAGCCACUGUGGGAAGCAAUAUAGCAGUUCCUCAAACAAUAAAUAAAUGGCCCAGGCGGGUGGCUCACACCUGCAAUCCCAGCACUUUGGGAGGCUGAG
Molecule: long non-coding RNA, 2248 nt
Filed under: Homo sapiens (human)
Lineage: Eukaryota; Metazoa; Chordata; Mammalia; Primates; Hominidae
Description: non-protein coding lnc-AGPAT2-1:16
Source: RNAcentral